AGUAGAAUUGGUUGGUCAUAUGGAAGCUCUAUGUUUAAUAUUUGGAAGAACUAACAAAAUGUUUUUCAAAGUGGCUGCACCAUUUUAUGUUCCCACUAUCAAU
RNAcentral lists this microRNA precursor (103 nucleotides) under Marmota monax (woodchuck). Lineage: Eukaryota; Metazoa; Chordata; Mammalia; Rodentia; Sciuridae. The record is from RNAcentral.